RNAcentral lists this ribosomal RNA (424 nucleotides) under uncultured bacterium. Its description in RNAcentral is "partial 16S ribosomal RNA". It matches the Rfam family "Bacterial small subunit ribosomal RNA", at positions 354 to 796 of the family's 1533-position model. The record is from RNAcentral.
GUGGGGAAUCUUCCGCAAUGGACGAAAGUCUGACGGAGCAACGCCGCGUGAGUGAAGAAGGUUUUCGGAUUGUAAAGCUCUGUCUUUAGGGACGAUAAUGACGGUACCUAAGGAGGAAGCCCCGGCUAACUACGUGCCAGCAGCCGCGGUAAUACGUAGGUGGCGAGCGUUGUCCGGAAUUACUGGGUGUAAAGGGAGUGUAGGCGGGGCUUCAAGUCCGUUGUGAAACCGAUCGGCUCAACUGAUCGUUGCGGCGGAAACUGGAGCUCUUGAGUGAGGUAGAGGCAGGCGGAAUUCCCAGUGUAGCGGUGAAAUGCGUAGAUAUUGGGAGGAACACCAGUGGCGAAGGCGGCCUGCUGGGCCUUAACUGACGCUGAGGCUCGAAAGUGUGGGGAGCAAACAGGAUUAGAAACCCGAGUAGUCC